Non-coding RNA from Theobroma cacao (cacao), 1060 nucleotides. The record is from RefSeq and is a predicted model, not a curated record. Lineage: Eukaryota; Viridiplantae; Streptophyta; Magnoliopsida; Malvales; Malvaceae.
GCGAGCAAAAAUUAAAAGUACUGCAGCAGGUGAAGUAAACGAGGAGGGAGGACUAGGUAAAGAAGAAAGAGAGCUAGAGGGGGAAAAAAAAAAAAGAAAGAGAGAAAUAUCUCUGCCUUUGCCUUGCUUGCCCUCUCUUAAAAAGUCUAGAGAGAGACAAAACACAGAGAGAAAUCAACAACAACGUUAUAGUUGCGUCUCUCCGUGCGUGUCAAUCAAAUCUUCCUUCUUAUAUUCUCUCUCUCUCUCUCUCUCUCUCUCUCUCUCUCUCUCUUUCUUUGUUGGUUUCAUGAUUUCAGGGCCUCUCUGUUGAAUCUAAUCUCUCUCUUUCUCAGCCAUCUCCAGAAGCAAUAGAAGAUUCCAUUCCAAUCCUUUUAAAACUACUCAUAUCUUCUUCUUUUUCUUGAGGAAAAGUAAAUUAAAAUCAAAAUCCCAUAAUUUUUUUCGGAGAAAGAGAUUCCAAUUCUGCUGCUUUUCCCCUUUGUCUUGUCCCUAGACAUGUCUUGUUGUUUCAAGGAAUAAGUCUGGUUUUGGUUGAAGUGAAGUAAGUUUGGAAUGGAAGGCGACAUAUUUUCAGGAUUUGGUAAUGGAACUGAAGUAGAUGGCAAGGUUUUGCAGACAUUUCAAAAGAGUUUUGUGCAAGUUCAAGGCAUCCUAGAUCAAAAUAGGCUGCUAAUCAACGAGAUUAACCAAAACCAUGAGUCAAAGAUCCCUGAUAACUUGAGCCGGAACGUGGGAUUAAUUAGAGAGUUGAAUAACAAUAUUAGAAGAGUAGUUGAUCUCUAUGCUGAUCUCUCGAGCUCCUUCACCAGGUCAAUGGAGGCUUCAUCAGAAGGCGAUUCAGCUGGGACAUUCAAAUCUGAUGGAAAAGCUAGUCAGAAGAGAAUUAGAUCUGGGUAAAUUUGAUCAAGCUGAGCUUUUGGUAUAAAUUCUGUUCUCUUUCCCUGUGGAAUAAGAAGAGUAUUUUGAUCCUGAAGUGAAAAAAAAAUCUGUAACUCUUUCAAUGAAAGUGUGAAAUGCAUCUGAGAUUGUGAAGCUUCAGCAUAAUCCUCAGUCGUCA